CCUACGGGGGGCAGCAGUGGGGAAUAUUGGACAAUGGGGGCAACCCUGAUCCAGCCAUGCCGCGUGUGUGAAGAAGGCCCUCGGGUUGUAAAGCACUUUCAGUGAGGAAGAACGCCUGGUGGUUAAUACCCAUCAGGAAAGACAUCACUCACAGAAGAAGCACCGGCUAACUCCGUGCCAGCAGCCGCGGUAAUACGGAGGGUGCGAGCGUUAAUCGGAAUUACUGGGCGUAAAGCGCGCGUAGGUGGCUUGAUAAGCCGGUUGUGAAAGCCCCGGGCUCAACCUGGGAACGGCAGCCGGAACUGUCAAGCUAGAGUGCAGGAGAGGAAGGUAGAAUUCCCGGUGUAGCGGUGAAAUGCGUAGAGAUCGGGAGGAAUACCAGUGGCGAAGGCGGCCUUCUGGACUGACACUGACACUGAGGUGCGAAAGCGUGGGUAGCAAACAGGAUUAGAUACCCUGGUAGUC
This 465-nucleotide ribosomal RNA is filed under the name Vreelandella stevensii. RNAcentral's name for it is "partial 16S ribosomal RNA". It matches the Rfam family "Bacterial small subunit ribosomal RNA", at positions 338 to 795 of the family's 1533-position model. The record is from RNAcentral. Lineage: Bacteria; Pseudomonadati; Pseudomonadota; Gammaproteobacteria; Oceanospirillales; Halomonadaceae.